AGUGAACGCUGGCGGUAGGCCUAACACAUGCAAGUCGAACGGCAGCACAGUAAGAGCUUGCUCUUACGGGUGGCGAGUGGCGGACGGGUGAGGAAUACAUCGGAAUCUACUUUUUCGUGGGUGAUAACGUAGGGAAACUUACGCUAAUACCGCAUACGACCUACGGGUGAAAGCAGGGGAUCUUCGGACCUUUCGCGAUUGAAUUAGCCGAUGUCGGAUUAGCUAGUUGGCGAGGUAAAGGCCCACCAAGGCAACGAUCCGUAGCCGACCUGACAGGAUGAGCGGCCACACUGGAACUGAGACACGGGCCAGACUCCUACGGGAGGCAGCAGUAGGGAAUCUUCCGCAAUGGGCGAAAGCCUGACGGAGCAACGCCGCGUGAGUGAUGAAGGUCUUCGGAUCGUAAAACUCUGUUAUUAGGGAAGAACAAAUGAGGAAGUAACUAUGCACGUCUUGACGGUACCUAAUCAGAAAGCCACGGCUAACUACGUG
This 492-nucleotide ribosomal RNA is filed under the name uncultured bacterium. Its description in RNAcentral is "partial 16S ribosomal RNA". It matches the Rfam family "Bacterial small subunit ribosomal RNA", at positions 29 to 507 of the family's 1533-position model. The record is from RNAcentral.